AUGCCGGAGAACGGAGUUGAGCUUGCAGCAGUACCACCCUUCGCCGAUACCUUGACUGGGCUAACCGAUGCCAACGGCGGCAAUGACCUUGACAUCGAUGGCCGCAUUCACGAGCUCUCCGAAAUCAUCAUGCAUGAAAUGUGUGCUAGCCGGGUGCCCCGACCAGGGAAACCAGAGAUCUAUCGCGUUCCCGAGACGUUCCUCGCCGCCGACGAGGGCGCCUACCAGCCGAGGUUCCUGUCCCUGGGGCCAUAUCACCGCGGCGACUCCGCCACGGAGGAGAUGCGGCGCACCGACGAGCGCAAGCUAGAGAACCUGGCCUACGCCCUCCAAGACGGCGGGCCGUCGGUGGAAGAGUACAUGGAGGCCAUAGCGUCCGUUGAGGCCGACGCCAGGAGCCGCUACGACGGAGACGUCGCCAUGGAGUGGGGCGCGUUCUGCAGGAUGCUACUGCUCGAUGGGUUCCAGCUGAUUACAGUGCUCAAGUUUCUCGGCUAUGAGCCGCCGCCGCUUCCACCUCCAGCUCCAGGGUGCAGCAGCAACAACAAUGGACAAGGGAACUGCAGGCCGAGGACCAGCGUUGUCAUCAGUAUCGAACAUGACUUGAUGAUGCUGGAGAACCAGAUACCAUUCUUCGUCGUCCAGAGGAUCCACCGCUUGCGAUACGGCAUUGGUGGAAAUGGAAUGGACACGGUUGAAGAGCUAGCCUGGAGGACCAUCAAAAGAAUUAUGAAUGACGCCCCGGCAGCGACCAGCUUUCCACCGGCGAAGUGCCACCAUUUGGUACAUCUGUGCCAUGAAUACCUGAGGCCAAGCAACCUCGACAAGUCACUAGGCGCAUGCGGUGAUUAUGGAAGAUUCCGGCGAGCCAUCGAGUACCACGAGGCCGGUGUCAAGUUCAGGCGGUUAAACAGUGAAGCGGACGGCAGCUCGCGGCGCCCCUUGCUGGACGUGACCUUCUCCGACGGGGUGCUGAGGAUGGCGCAACUGAGGGUGGACGAGAGGACCAAUUACAUCCUCCGCAACGUCCUCGUUUACGAGCAGCGGUACGACGACACGGCCACCAGCGGCGCCACCAGCUACGUGACGGCGUAUGUGAUGUUCAUGUCGCAGCUGCUGGGCGGGCCGGAGGACGUGGCCCUGCUGUCGCGGCACGGGGUCAUUGAGCACCACCUGGGCGACGACGCCGAGGUGUGCGCGCUGUUCCGGGGGCUGGCGCAGGGGCUCGUCUUCGACCCGUCCGGCGGGCACUACCUGAGCACGGUGGGCGUGAGGCUGCGGUCGCACCACCGGUCGCGCCUCAACCGGUGGCGUGCCUGGGUCAUGCGGCACCGCUUCCGCAACCCGUGGCUCGCCGUGGCGUGGGUCUUGGGCUCCAUGGCCGUGCUGGGCACCAUCGUCCAGACUGUGAUCACUCUGCUUCCCUACGUGCAUCAUCAAGGACGCACGCGCAACAUCGGAAGCUAG
This 1467-nucleotide ribosomal RNA is filed under the name Triticum aestivum (bread wheat). RNAcentral describes it as "partial small subunit ribosomal RNA". The record is from RNAcentral. Lineage: Eukaryota; Viridiplantae; Streptophyta; Magnoliopsida; Poales; Poaceae.